CAGCCGCCGCGGUAAUACAGAGGGUGCGAGCGUUAAUCGGAUUUACUGGGCGUAAAGCGUGCGUAGGCGGCUUCUUAAGUCGGAUGUGAAAUCCCUGAGCUUAACUUAGGAAUUGCAUUCGAUACUGGGAAGCUAGAGUAUGGGAGAGGAUGGUAGAAUUCCAGGUGUAGCGGUGAAAUGCGUAGAGAUCUGGAGGAAUACCGAUGGCGAAGGAAGCCAUCUGGCCUAAUACUGACGCUGAGGUACGAAAGCAUGGGGAGCAAACAGGAUUAAAUACCCGCGUAGUCCCUGUCUCUUAUAC
This 301-nucleotide ribosomal RNA is filed under the name uncultured bacterium. Its description in RNAcentral is "partial 16S ribosomal RNA". It matches the Rfam family "Bacterial small subunit ribosomal RNA", at positions 509 to 807 of the family's 1533-position model. The record is from RNAcentral.